CUCGUUUUCACUGACAAGCGGUACAUGACCAUGUGCCAGUUAGGCCGCAGAGAGAGGCUCGCUUGUUGGCAGCACGGUUUGAUUGUGGGUCAAAAAUCCAGCAGAGCAAGUUUGUAGUAAGGUCUAGUUACAUUUACAUUUUAGUCAUUUAGCAGACACUCUUAUCCAGAGCGACUUACAUUAGUGAGUGCAUACAUUUCAUUAAAAAAAAUUGUACUGGCCCCCUGUGGGAAUCAAACCCACAACCCUGGCGUUGCACACACCAUGCUGGCAUUGCAAACACCAUGCUCUAACAACUGAGCCACAGGGAAGACCAGUUAUUCAAUUGCUAAAUAGUAAUAUACUCUAAAACGCUCUGGUGACAAACAAACUUCACUGCCCUGUUUCCAAUCGUCCACAUGGCUGGGAGAACCUAUUCAAGAAGGUAAAUAUAUUUCGAAAAUGUAAAAAAAAAAAUGUAAAAAAUGUAUUAUUAGCUAACUAGCUACAGUGCUGGCGAACUCAAAUGAGCUGCUAACAUGGCUAGCUAGCUAUCUAGCCAACUUUACAUACUGUAUAGAUAGCUAGCUAAGUGAAUUAAAUAUCACCACCUACCUAACUUCAUAUUCGCUAGCUAUCUUGAUGUAUUUAUCACUGUAAAAACAACUCUAAAUGCAUUUGUAGGUAGCUAGCUAACAGCUAUGGAGGACAGUGACAGGAUAGCAGCCCCAACUGUCAAAGUGAGAGAGUAGGCUAUUCUGGAUAGAGCAAGUACUUUUGUCUAGUUCCUGUCCCUGGAAGUGAGGACAGAGAUAAUAGAAAUGAGGACAGAGAUAAUAGUAACAUAAUAUUUAGUGCAGUCUCAUUUGACUAUAAUGAAGUCUGUAUCUUGUGAGGUUUUCUGUCCUCAGAUACAGAGAGCUGUAAAAGCCGGUCAAGCAGAUGAAGAGGUCCCAAUGAAGAGUAGUGGCUCUCAGUCCUGGAUUCAUUUGUGAUGCUGUCCUUGAUAUGAUCUUGCUAUUGUCACAUGCACAUGUGUGUGUACAUGCAUCUAUCCAAUGUUACCAUUAUUUGUUAUCAGGGAUAUUAUACUUUAGUAAUCCGCAAUGACCUGGUGAUGUAACAGUCAAAUAAUGACAUUAUCUUCCAUAUUCCUACAGAUACCUUGUAACUGGUGAUUCCUUCAAAACGAUUUCCUACAGUUACGUGUAGGGCACUGCAAGGUUGGGUGACCAGGGCCAUCUGGGACUGCCUCCUGGAGGAAUUCAGGUGUGUGUGAAGGCUACCUGUGUCCUGCAUAACUUCAUGAGGAUGGACACAAGGACCAGGAGGGGAUCUGCAGCUCGCCGCCGCGUGCCAGAGUAGAAGUCUGCUGCUCUGCAGGAUGUUUCAAGGAUGGGGUCCAACAACGUAGCAAGAGAGGCAAUCCGUGUGCAAGAGAUCUUCACCUCCUACUUCUUCGAAGAGGGUGCUGUUCCCUGGCAACACCAUAGACUACACUAUGCACAACCAAAGGCUCUUUUAAGAGCUAUUCACAUUGCAAUAAGAGUAUUCUUCCAUUUACUGAGCUAUGUCAACUGCAGUUAUUCAAUUCUCAGUUUCUCUCCCUUUGAUUUCUACUUCUCAUGUGAGGGUGCUAUUUAGGUAAGGGUGUGAUGUCUACAAAAGCAAAACAGGCUAUUUUAAAUCACCCAUAUUGAAACAAUUUGGAACAAUUAGACACCCUAUAACCCACACGUACACUCAUGUAUCAAUCUGAUUGAUGGAUUGUGUUGUGCAGUAAGCAGGUUCAGGUGUAUAACUGUGGCUCCUUCCACCUUCAAAUAAUAGGCAAGAGGGACAACCGUGGAGAAUAGUAAGACACUUCAUUAUUUCUAUAACUACGCUAUAUUGUUUGUCCUCGUGUGUCUGUGCAUGUUUUUCCAGCAUAAAGUACUCUGCAGCCACUUAGUGUGGUGUGGACACCAGGUGAGGCCACACACAGAUUACUGUUGAACACUGUCGCUUUAACUACCUUAUUUUCUCAAUAACAGUCUCUCUCCUUCACUUCAUCCUUCUUUUCCUUAAAUCCUCUAGGUUAUAUCAGCUGUGGUUCGUGAACCCCUACUGCAUCUGAACUGGCUGACAGAGAGGGCACAGCAUGAUCAGAGGUAUGAUUUGAUGUGAGGAUGCCAACCCCCAGUCCCGUCAUCGCCACCUCACCCGCUCUUAAGACAACCUUCGGUCCGACGAGAGACACUAUUAUGUAAUUGUGAUGAACUGAGAGAAUAUUUGGGUAGCACUGUGAUUCAUUAAUCAUAUGCUGCCUUCCCUGCUCCUAUGUUCUUACCUCUUUCCCUUUGUUUUUUACACCUCUCUCACCACCUCCUCUUUCUUCCUCUGUUUUUAUAAUGCACAAUAGAUGUGCAUUGAAGUAAAGAUUGAACUUAUAUUUAUAAUAUAAUAUUCCAAUUAUAACAUUUAUAAUGCAUAUAUUUAUAACACUUGGAUAAUGAAAUUCUUUCAAUAAAG
Molecule: long non-coding RNA, 2490 nt
Filed under: Salmo salar (Atlantic salmon)
Lineage: Eukaryota; Metazoa; Chordata; Actinopteri; Salmoniformes; Salmonidae
Description: lncRNA (ENSSSAG00000100543.1)
Rfam family: Histone 3' UTR stem-loop (bases 1489-1534)
Source: RNAcentral